UCCCAGUUAACCUGGGCAGUCUCACUAGAGUCCCCACCUUGCGUGUUGGCAACUAAUGAUAAGGGUUGCGCUCGUUGCGGGACUUAACCCAACACCUCACGGCACGAGCUGACGACAGCCAUGCAGCACCUAUACAGCGGUCCUUUCGGACGGUAAUAUCUCUACUACCUUCCACUGCACUUCUAACCUGGGUAAGGUUCUUCGCGUUGCAUCGAAUUAAACCACAUGCUCCACUGCUUGUGCGGGCCCCCGUCAAUUCUUUUGAGUUUCACCCUUGCGAGCGUACUCCUCAGGCGGUAUACUUAACGCGUUAGCUCCGAUACAGCCAGGGUUGAGCCCAGCUACACCAAGUAUACAUCGUUUACGGCAAGGACUAC
RNAcentral lists this unclassified non-coding RNA (377 nucleotides) under uncultured Simkaniaceae bacterium. RNAcentral's name for it is "contains 16S-23S intergenic spacer region". Lineage: Bacteria; Pseudomonadati; Chlamydiota; Chlamydiia; Parachlamydiales; Simkaniaceae. The record is from RNAcentral.